RNAcentral lists this non-coding RNA (30 nucleotides) under Mus musculus (house mouse). Lineage: Eukaryota; Metazoa; Chordata; Mammalia; Rodentia; Muridae. The record is from RNAcentral.
UAAGUGCACAAACCAUUUGAAACUGUUGGU